CUAUAAUUAAUAAGAAAAACAAAAAUUUAUUCAAUUUCUAUAUUAAGGUAUAUACGAUUACUAACAAUUACAACUUCAUGCCAUUGAGUGUCGGACAAAUCCAAACUGAAAUCUGCUUUAUAGCAUUUUGCUUAGCUUUUUUGGGUUAUUGUGGGAAACUUGUAACCUAAAACAUAAGAGCGAUAACGAUUUGAUGCAAUCUUUGCCUUCCUCCAACUUAUAAAUAGCAGUCUUAUCCGAAUCCCUACCACUAAAUACUGGCAACGAUAACAAGGAUUUAGGCUCGCUACAAUACUUGUCCUUCUUUCAGACAUCACACUUAGCAAUAUACAUUAUUUCCUAACUAAAAACUAUUUACUAAAUGCAGAUCGUUUAUAAAAUAGGCUACUGGAAAAUACAAUCCUGUUUAAUCCUUGCACUUUAGCGAAACAACUUCGGGUUUUAUCGAAAGCUUGCUUUUGCUUCUAGAGAUUCUUCUUAAUAUCAACAGAUCUCAACUUAACCCAGAAAUUUUAACUUCCUCUGUUCACAUUCCAACAAAUUACUUUAAUAAAGUUGCUUAAAAACAUACUUAAUUACAAUUUAGGACAUAAAGCCCAAUGGAAGGUUAAGGGACUCGAACCCUUGACCCUCGGCUUUGCAAAGCCGAUGCUCUAGCCAACUGAGCUUAACCCCCCAAAUGACCUAAACUUAAGUCUAAGUUUAACAAAGCUCUUUAAUAUAAAAA
This 727-nucleotide unclassified non-coding RNA is filed under the name Borreliella burgdorferi (Lyme disease spirochete). RNAcentral describes it as "partial 16S-23S ribosomal RNA intergenic spacer". Lineage: Bacteria; Pseudomonadati; Spirochaetota; Spirochaetia; Spirochaetales; Borreliaceae. The record is from RNAcentral.